This 247-nucleotide ribosomal RNA is filed under the name uncultured bacterium. RNAcentral's name for it is "partial 16S ribosomal RNA". It matches the Rfam family "Bacterial small subunit ribosomal RNA", at positions 523 to 769 of the family's 1533-position model. The record is from RNAcentral.
AUACGGAGGAUGCGAGCGUUAUCCGGAUUUAUUGGGUUUAAAGGGUGCGUAGGCGGAUAGAUAAGUCAGUUGUGAAAGUUUAAGGCUCAACCUUGAAAUUGCAGUUGAUACUGGACGUCUUGAGUGCAUUAAAUGUGGGCGGAAUUCGUGGUGUAGCGGUGAAAUGCGUAGAUAUCGGGAGGAACACCAGUGGCGAAGGCGACUUUCUGGACGAUGUCUGACGCUGAGGCGCGAAAGCUAGGGGAGC